Molecule: ribosomal RNA, 632 nt
Filed under: uncultured bacterium
Lineage: Bacteria
Description: bacterial SSU rRNA
Rfam family: Bacterial small subunit ribosomal RNA
Source: RNAcentral
GUUUGAUCCUGGCUCAGGAUGAACGCUGGCGGCGUGCCUAACACAUGCAAGUCGAACGAAGCACCUUUUAAGAUUCUUCGGAUGAUCGAUCGGUGACUGAGUGGCGGACGGGUGAGUAACGCGUGGGUAACCUGCCCUGUACAGGGGGAUAACAGCUGGAAACGGCUGCUAAUACCGCAUAAGCGCACGAGGAGACAUCUCCUUGUGUGAAAAACUCCGGUGGUACAGGAUGGGCCCGCGUCUGAUUAGCUGGUUGGCAGGGUAACGGCCUACCAAGGCAACGAUCAGUAGCCGGUCUGAGAGGAUGAACGGCCACAUUGGAACUGAGACACGGUCCAAACUCCUACGGGAGGCAGCAGUGGGGAAUAUUGCACAAUGGGGGAAACCCUGAUGCAGCAACGCCGCGUGAGUGAAGAAGUAUUUCGGUAUGUAAAGCUCUAUCAGCAGGGAAGAUAAUGACGGUACCUGACUAAGAAGCUCCGGCUAAAUACGUGCCAGCAGCCGCGGUAAUACGUAUGGAGCAAGCGUUAUCCGGAUUUACUGGGUGUAAAGGGUGCGUAGGUGGCAGUGCAAGUCAGAUGUGAAAGGCCGGGGCUCAACCCCGGAGCUGCAUUUGAAACUGCUCGGCUAGA